CUUCUCUCUCUCUCUCUCCCUCUCUCUCAUCUCUCGGUCCAUGCUUAGGUUUAUUUGUUCUUUUGGAUCGAAUAUCUCUUCUUAGUUCGAAUUGGUUAGUGAGAUUGUCGGAUUAGUGCCAUCGCUGAUCCUUCUUCUUCGUAACAAUCAGGAAAUCUUACCGUGUAAUUUAUUUCAAGUAUGUCGCAGUGGAGCGGAAAUGUUUCUGAUUUUCACGCUGUUCAACCUUCAUGGGAAUCAGGAUCCUCGUUCAUGGGAAAUGAUACUGUUCAAUCUGAACCUCCUAAAACCAGAAAACCAAGUCUUAGCAUUGAGGCUUUUACAGUCCAAUGCAACACUUGUCUCAAGUGGAGGGUCAUUCCUUCGGAGGAAAAAUAUGAAGUGAUAAGAGAAAAGCUUGAAGAAAACCUGUUUUACUGCGAAACAGCAAGUGAAUGGAAGCCCGGUAUGUCUUGUGACGUUCCUGAGAAUGUAUCUCAGUAUAGAACCUCUGUGUGGGCUCUGGAUAGGCCAGGCAUUCCUUGCCCACCAGCUGGCUGGAAACGUUCAGUGCGGUUUAGAAAUGAAGGAUCUACCAGAUUUGCUGAUGUCUAUUAUGCUACUCCGUCAGGAUAUCAGCUUCGGUCAUAUGUGGAAGUUCAAAAGUACUUGGACGAGUACCCGCAGUACAAAAUAGAAGGCGUCAACAUUUCACAAUUCUCAUUCCAAAUGCCGAUACCGCUUCAGGAAAACUAUGUGAGAAAGCUCCCAGCUAAACCCUCGAAAAGGAUUAGAACAACAGAUUUAUCAACCUCUAGCCCCUGUGGUGAUCUAGCUAGAGAAGACUGAAUUCGACCCUGAUUGUUUAUUUUUUAUCUUCUCUGACUUUUUUGUUUUGUUUGGGUAUAUCGAAGGAACUGCGGACAUGUGAUUAGCUUGUUUUGUGUGUACCAGAGAAGCGAUGUACAAGCCAUACUCUUCAUAGAAGAAACUGAAAACAAGUGGUUCACUAUUUUAUUUUGCAAUUCCUCCCUUUAUGAGAAGACGAUACGAAGGCACAUACCAGCCCUCGAUGACAGACUCCGACAUAUCAUUCCAUUCCUUUUAUCAUAAAGCUCUAACAAGAUAACAUUGUAAAAUCUUUAUCUAAUACUCUUUGGGAGAGUGAAAUAGCAAGUGCGAAAGCUAUCAGGUUUCAAGCUCCACAAUAAGGUCAGGUUUAUUGGAACUCUAUGAAUCAUGUUAUGAUGCUAUGACCAAAAUAUUGCUGAAAGUUUAGUCAUGCAUUUGAUAA
Molecule: RNA transcript, 1273 nt
Organism: Eutrema salsugineum
Lineage: Eukaryota; Viridiplantae; Streptophyta; Magnoliopsida; Brassicales; Brassicaceae
Gene name: methyl-CpG-binding domain-containing protein 2
Exons: 6
Source: RefSeq, a predicted model, not a curated record